This is an RNA transcript of Ictalurus furcatus (blue catfish), 4220 nucleotides long. It is a transcript of the gene named glucose-6-phosphatase catalytic subunit 3, with no coding region annotated. Lineage: Eukaryota; Metazoa; Chordata; Actinopteri; Siluriformes; Ictaluridae. The transcript is spliced from 7 exons. The record is from RefSeq and is a predicted model, not a curated record.
GGUAUCCAUAACAAAAAAAGUAAACAGAAGCUGACUGCAUCUCUGCCAACGGAUUGGCGUUAGAGUUAGUAUUAGCAUUAGCAUUAGCAUUGUUGUGAAGAUGUUUCUGAGGAACCCUCGUGUUAAAUGUUAUUAUUCUCCUUAGCGCUGUUUCUCAGAGGUGACCGACGACGCUGAACUUCAGCCCUGUACUACAGUGUGACUGCUGCGAAUCAGCCACAGCUACCGAACUUAGCAAGCUAGCUUGCACCAUCCCAGCUGUUCUGUCAUCUGAUGCUAAUUAGUGAGCUUGAGUGAAAUGGAGAGAGUCUAUACUCAAGGCAUUUGGAUGGCGGAGCUUCUUCAGUCACACGCGAGAAAUUAUGAAUCUUUCUGGCUACUCGCUACUCAUAUGGGAGACCCAAAAGCGGCGUUUCUGCUCGUUUUCCCACCCGUUUUCUACCUGCACAGACGAACCGGCAUCGCCAUCCUCUGGGUGGCUGCUAUAUCAGAGUGGCUUAAUCUUGUUUUUAAAUGGGUCCUGUUUGGGGAAAGGCCUUACUGGUGGAUAGGUCAGUCGGGUUUAUUUGUGAAAAACAGCCCUUCGGUCCAGCAGUUCCAGUCCACCUGUGAGACAGGACCAGGUAGUCCCUCAGGCCAUGCCAUGGUCACUGCUGCAGUCUGGUGGGUGGUGGUGUCCGCCCUGGCCUCCGUUCUUCAUUCUCGCUCUGGCAGUAAGAUACUGGCUGCGAUACCUUACGUCUUCUACACGUUGCUGUUGGGAGCAGUUGGUGUGUCUCGAGUCUUUAUUUUGGCUCAUUUUCCACACCAGGUCAUCGCUGGCAUUCUGACAGGCGUGAUGCUGGGAGUGUUUUUAAACCGCACAGUACCAGAUUGUCGCCCCCUGCUGUUCUUCCUGUGCUCCAGCAUGGCACUGCUGUUCGGAGCACUGCUCAUGCAUGCUGGGCUGAAGACGGUUGGCAUCGACCUCGCCUGGUCUGUUGCAUUGGCCAAGAGAUGGUGCUCUAAGUCUGAGUGGGUUCGCAUGGAUACAAACCCUUUCUCUUCUCUGAGCCGUGAUGCUGGCGUGCUGCUCGGGCUGGGACUUGCCCAGUUCUGGAAGCCAGGAGGAUGGGCACUUCCCUGGAUACCGAAGACCCUCUGCAUGGCGCUGUCCUCCAUGGCCCUGUACCACGUGAGCCGGUUCCCUCUGCCUACAGUUCCAGCCCUCCUCUUUUACUCACUCUUUUUUCUCAAAUAUGUCCUAGUGCCCCAGAUAGUGAUGGUGCUGGUACCUGGCCUGGUGCAUCUCCUGACAGCCAAACCCAAGAGGGACUGAGAGGAUUAAACAGAAUGACGUUUAACCUUUUCAUGGAGUCAGAAAUGGCCACCAUAGAUCAACUCCUGUGAGUGCAACUGAACAGUGAAGCAUUUCCAUUCGAGUAAGUCCUACGGAGUCGUAUAAAUUAGACUAGCUGUUUUACGUUAUUUAUUCUACAGGUAUAAUUCCAUAUUGAGAAGAUCGACACAUUUUUCAUAUUGUCCUCUAUAGAAGGGGACUUGUUCUGCCAAAUUCAAAAACGGAUUUUUUUUGUCAUUAAAUGGUAGUAACGUAUCCCAUACAAUCAAGGAAGUUUUAUAGACAGAACGCCCUGGACAGGGUGCCAAUCCAUCGCAGGGCACAAUCACAUACACACUCACACACACACACACACACUACGGACACUUUGGACAUGCCAAUCAGCCCUGUCUUUGGACUGGGGGAGGAUUCCCCCGCAGCACGGGGAGAACAUGCAAACUCCACACAUGGGAAUUGAACCCCCGACCCUGGAGGUGUGAGGCAAACGUGCUAAUCAUUAAGCCACCAUGCGCCCAAUGUUUAUAAUGAAGUUAAUGUUAAAUGUAUGCAGGGUAUACAUGCACUGAGAAAACGUCCCAUCUUGAGUAAUCCCAGUCCGGAGCAGUGUUCAUGGUUGCAGUUCUGUAGUCCUGUUUUUAGUAUCGCUUAUCUACUUAUUAUUACUUAUAACUAUUUUAUUGUUUUUGAGUAUGUCAGGUAUAAAUAUUGUAUGGUCGUCCAUCCUGAUGGGGAAAUGCUGGAUGACAGGUUGAGAUUGUUGCUGGCGCAAGAUUAGAUGAUUCUUUGCAAAUCAACUAGAUGCCGCCUCUAUGGCAACUUUGUUGGAGCUUCACAUGAAAGAAGCCCUUCCUAAGAACAACGCACAACUUGUAGCUCCCGAACUCCAAUGAAAAUCGAGUGCUGCAGUCAGAUGAGACCAAAGACAAAGUUUCUGAUCAUCAACAGCAGCAGCAUGUACAAGGAAAAGCCCCCAGCCCACUCUAAAACAUGGUGGAUCAUUGGUGCUUUGUGUGAUUCAUUCUGCUAGGUACCACGUGGCAAUUUUCAACAAUCCAACUAUUGUGUACAGUACAGUUCCAUUAUUGCUAUUACAAACAUAUUCUCUGUUCAUGUAACAGUGAGCGAUGCAAGUCUAUUUGACUGUAAAGGUCUUCUAUUCUCCUGUUGGUAAGAAAAUGAGCCCAAACGUACAUCCAAAUCAACACCGACAUGGUUAAAGGACACAAAAUCAGUGUUUUGCAAUGGAGAAAUGUUUAGCACCAGUCAACACGGGUAACACAAUGGUGCUGCUAUUAAAAAUAAUACGUAACCUAAAAAGAAAAUGAGCCAGUGUAAAUGCCAUAUCCAGUAUAAAUGCAGACAAUGAGGCCUUUUUGUGUAUUCAUAAUGCAAAGGAACAAUAAUAUCAUGGCACUGGCUUGAUGUAUUAUAUAUUAUUUUUGUGGUAGUUCUAGCGAAAAGAAAGGUAUUAUUGUAAAAAGGGCCUUUUGUCCAGACCGAACUGAAAACCAGAGAUGUGAAUUGAAGGUGUCCACAUGCACAAGAAUACAAAGGAGCUUUAAAAAGGGCAUUAAGGGAGAUCAUCUACUGUCUUAAACUUUGUUAAGUGAAGAAAUUGUUUUUUUUGUAGGUACGGUUAUGGGUUAUGGGUUAUGUUUGGGGGGGGAAAAUUCCAUUCAAAUGUAACUACACAGCAUUCACAUGUGACCUAAAACACCAUCACCUGUAUGUGUUACUCAUUUUAUGUAUCAUAAUUUCUGCUCGUUUUCAGAAUAAUUUUGGAGUUGAAUGUGUCUCAGCUGUUUGCAGUGUGAUUAAACACAUUGUGUUUUAUUUUAUUCACUUUUAGUCCCAGAGCUCUAAAAGCCUUUAUAGAUGAAAGAACCCAGCACAGCAAGAAAAUACAUUAAAAUGAACCCAAAUGCAAAUUUCAAACGAUUAUUUCAAGUUAGAGGUCACGUGUGAGAUGAAGUAUUUGGGCACUAGCUUCAGUCGUCCUGUUAGUUUAGAUACAGUUCAGGUACUUGGGAAUUCAUCUUCGUCUCAACGAUUGCAAGCUGGUCAGGCCCUGAUGCAGCAAAGCAAGCCCAAAUCAUGAUGUUUCCUCCACCAUACUUUACGGUUGGGAUGAUGUUUUCAUGAUGAUAUGCCAUGCCCUUUCUACACCAGAUGUAGUGCUGUGUGGUAUCUCCAAAUAGUUCAAUCUUAGUUUCAUCAGUCCACAAAACAUUUUACCAGUACCGCUGUGGAGUGUCAAUGUGCUCUUUUGCAAACUUCAGGCGUGCAGCAAUAUUUGUUUUAGUAAGCAGUGGCUUCCUUUGUGGUGUCCUGCCGUAGAUACCCUGCUUGUUCAGUUGUCUUACAUAUUGUACACUCAUGAACAGAGAUGUUAGCCAGUUCAAAUCUUUGGCUGUCAUUCGGGGUUGUUUCUUUACCUCAUUGACGAGUCUUCGUUGUGCUCUUGGUGUCAUUUUUACUGGGUGCCCACUUCUUGGUAGAGUAGCAACAGUCCCAAAGUGUCUCCAUUUGUAAAAUGUUUGCCUAACUGUAGACUGGUGAAUUUCUAAAGUCUUUGAAAUCACUUUGUAACCCUUGCCAGCUUUAUGUAAAUCAACAAUUCUUGAUCAUAGACCCUCUGAAAGCUCUUUUUGGAGAGGCAUGGCUCACAUAAGCGUGAGCUUCUUGUGCAGCGCAAACUCCAAAAGUUUGAGGGGUUUUUAUCAGUCAAAUCAGCUGUAGUCCACACCUCCAAACUCAUUUUCUUAACGAGACUCCAGGUGUGGAGUCUCGUUAACCCUUAACUCAAGGGUUCACAUACUUUUUUCCGCAAGCACUAUGAGGUUUUUUUGGUUGUUCUCAAUAAAGAAAUGUAAUAUCAGAA